GGGCUAGCUUGUAUGAGGAAUCCUUAAAAGCUGGCGUACGAUUGUCCUUCUACUAUCUCAUAGUGAAAUUUCUUAAAUUAUAUAGAAUAAAUUUCUAUAGCAUUGCGUCAAACUCAUGGCACCCAAUUAUAGGCUUCUUUGCUCACUUCUUUCUCCUCAGGGUCGAACCGACCUCCCGUCUUCUUCGUGCUUGCUUCACAUUAAAGGAGCAUUCUAUGGAGGUUGGGUGGUGGUACGUCUCUCUUUGGAGAGGACGCCAUCUCUUUCGAGGUGCUCCUUCCUCGAUAUAUAGUUGGAAGGAGUGCUUUUUUGUCUCAACCGAGCAAC
Molecule: long non-coding RNA, 327 nt
Filed under: Elaeis guineensis (African oil palm)
Lineage: Eukaryota; Viridiplantae; Streptophyta; Magnoliopsida; Arecales; Arecaceae
Description: long non-coding RNA (EGUI_LNC021507)
Source: RNAcentral